AACGAACGCUGGCGGCAGGCUUAACACAUGCAAGUCGAACGCCCCGCAAGGGGAGUGGCAGACGGGUGAGUAACGCGUGGGAAUCUACCCAGAUCUACGGAACAACAGAGGGAAACUUCUGCUAAUACCGUAUACGCCCUACGGGGGACAGAUUUAUCGGAUUUGGAGGAGACCGCGUAAGAUUAGCUAGUUGGUGGGGUAAUGGCCUACCAAGGCGACGAUCGUUAGCUGGUCUGAGAGGAUGAUCAGGCACACUGGGACUGAGACACGGCCCAGACUCCUAGGGGAGGCAGCAGUGGGGAAUAUGGGACAAUGGGCGCAAGCCUGAUCCAGCCAUGCCGCGUGAGUGAUGAAGGCCUUAGGGUUGUAAAGCUCUUUCACCGAUGAAGAUAAUGACGGUAGUCGGAGAAGAAGCCCCGGCUAACUUCGUGCCAGCCGCCGCAGUAA
Molecule: ribosomal RNA, 447 nt
Filed under: uncultured bacterium
Lineage: Bacteria
Description: partial 16S ribosomal RNA
Rfam family: Bacterial small subunit ribosomal RNA
Source: RNAcentral